GGGGGGGGGGGGGGGGGGGGGGGGGGGGGGGGGGGGGGGGGGAGGGGCGGGGGGGGGGGGGGGCGGGGGUUGGGGGCGGAGGGGGGAGUACGGGGUGGGUAGCGUGCCUGUAGGCGUGGGAUAAGUUCGGGACACGGGAGGUAAUGCCGGCGGAUAUUUUGAGCCGAUUGGUGCACAAGAGAAAUACGGUCUUGCUUUCACUUCUGGAGGGAUCCGCGCUGCAUUAGCUAGUUGGUAAGGUAACGCAUUGCCAAGGCAACGAUGCAUAGCGGACCUGAGAGGGUGAUCGGCCACACUGGAACUGAGACACGGUCCAGACUCCUACGGGAGGCAGCAGUAGGGAAUCUUCCGCAAUGGGCGAAAGCCUGACGGAGCAACGCCGCGUGAGUGAUGAAGGUCUUCGGAUCGUAAAACUCUGUUAUUAGGGAAGAACAUAUGUGUAAGUAACUGUGCACAUCUUGACGGUACCUAAUCAGAAAGCCACGGCUAACUACGUG
This 497-nucleotide ribosomal RNA is filed under the name uncultured bacterium. RNAcentral's name for it is "partial 16S ribosomal RNA". The stretch from base 60 to 497 matches the Rfam family "Bacterial small subunit ribosomal RNA", at positions 39 to 507 of the family's 1533-position model. The record is from RNAcentral.